UAUUAUUUUUGUCAUUACUAUUAUUAUUUGGUGUGUUCUCUGCACUGCCCCUGUGCGCAUCUGUUUGUAGGCAGGUAUGUGUGUGUGUGUUGCCUUUCUUCUGUGGCCAAGUUACAGGCACCUUCAGCCCUGGGGGCGUGGCCUGACUUGAGGGCUGGCCACACCCGAGGUCCUUGCCGCACACCUGCUCCUCAUCUGGGCUCGUCGGGAAAGCUAUUUAGAUGAGCGAUGGAGCUUCCACCGACGCUGGAUUAUUGCGUUUGACUACACGAGGAGUGUGGGACGAGAAGGAGCAGUGAGCACGAGGAGUGCAGGGACACUGGGGCAGAGAGCACUACACGGAGACUUUUGGGAAGAAGACACUACACGGGAGUCUGGGAAACUGGGGAUUUACUGUUGUUUACUUCACCACCUUGUAAAUAAACACUGCUGCACUGUA
This is a long non-coding RNA of Pelmatolapia mariae (spotted tilapia), 439 nucleotides long. RefSeq lists it as uncharacterized. Lineage: Eukaryota; Metazoa; Chordata; Actinopteri; Cichliformes; Cichlidae. The record is from RefSeq and is a predicted model, not a curated record. The transcript is spliced from 2 exons.